GUUGGGUUGGGUUGAGUUGGGUUGGGUCCAGUUGAGUUGGGUUGUGUUGAGUUGGGUUGGUUGGGUUGAGUUGGGUUGGGUCCGGUUGGGUCCAGUUGGGUUGGGCUGGGUUAGAUUGAGUUGGGUUGGGUCUGGUUGAGUCCAGUUGGGUUGGGUUGAGUUGGGUUGGGUCAGGUUGUGUUGUGUUGUGUUGUGUUGGUUGAGUUGUGUUGGGUUGAGUUGAGUUGGGUUGGGUUUGGUGGGGUUGGGUUGGGUUGGUCUGGGUUGGGUUGGGUUGGAUUGGGUUGGGUUGAGUUGGGUCAGGUCUGGUUGAGUUGUGUUGAGUUGGGUUGGGUUGGUUUGAGUUGGGUUGCGUUGGGUUAUGUUUGCUCACCGCUGCUGCACCACCUCCAGGUCCUCCAGCUUGUCGGGGACCAGCAGGGCGUGCAGCCACUGCUCCUUCUCUCCCACCCACAGCCCGCAGGCGUCGGCCUCGCUGCGCAUGGUGUAGAGGCUGAGCGCGUCCUGCAGCUCCUGCCGCCGGCGCUCCGUCUGCGCCGCCAGCUCCUGGUAGCGCCGCUCCAACGCCGGCAGCCGCCCGGCCACGCCGGGAGCGUCGGCGAACGCCGCCGGCAGAGCCCCGACCUGCUCGUGCAGCGCGGCGAUGGCGGGCCGGUGGCCGCGCACCUCCUCCUGCACCUCGCGGUGCUGCCGCGCCAGGCUGCGCGUCGAGUACUCGUCGUGGCCCAGCUCCGGGCUGGACGCCAGGCGCAACGCGUCCUCCAACCACGCCUCCACGUCGGCCGCCUCCGCUUGGAACUGGAAGAGCCCGGCCGCGUCCCGCAGGCGCCGCUCGCGCUCGUCCGCCAGCUCGCCCAGCGCCCGCCACCGCUCCUCCAUCUCCCGCACGCGCUCGCCCACCCGCUGGGCCCCCAGGUGCCCCUCGCCCACCAAGGCCCGGCCCCGCGCCAGCGCCUGCUGCAACGGCCCCGCGCGCCCGCUCAGCUCGUGCCGGAAGGCGGCGUGCUGGCUCAGCAGGCGCAGCGAGCUCGUCAGGUCCCGGCCCACGUCCUCGGAGGAGAGGAGCCGCUCCUGCUCCCGCAUCCACGCCUCCUCCUCCCCCGUGUCCCAGAAGAACUUCCAGAAGCGCCGCGAUUCCUCCAGCUUGGCGCGGCGUUGGGCCGCCAGCUCCGUCAGCUGCUGGUAGCGCUGCUCCAGCGUGGCCACGCGCUCCUGCACCACCUCCGGCUCGCACGGCUUGUAGCCUGCGGGAGAGCAGAGGAACCGUGUCAGAAGGGUCCUUCAAGGUCAUAGAGUGGGUUGCGAUGGGUUGGAAGGGUCCUUCAAGGUCAGAGAAUGGGCUGGGUUGGGUUGGAAGGGUCCUUGAAGGUCAUACAGUGGGUUGGGAUGGGUCGGAAGGGUCCUUGAAGGUCAUACAGUGGGUUGGGAUGGGUCGGAAGGGUCCUUAAAGGUCAUAGAAUGGGUUGGGUUGGGUUGGAAGGGUCCUUCAAGGUCAUUGAAUGGGUUGG
This 1508-nucleotide long non-coding RNA is filed under the name Numida meleagris (helmeted guineafowl). RNAcentral's name for it is "lncRNA (ENSNMEG00000002704.1)". The record is from RNAcentral. Lineage: Eukaryota; Metazoa; Chordata; Aves; Galliformes; Numididae.